This 1003-nucleotide long non-coding RNA is filed under the name Fragaria vesca (wild strawberry). RNAcentral's name for it is "long non-coding RNA (FVES_LNC004646)". The record is from RNAcentral. Lineage: Eukaryota; Viridiplantae; Streptophyta; Magnoliopsida; Rosales; Rosaceae.
AAAAAAACCGAAACCGAACCGAACCUAUGGGUUUGGUUUGGUUUCCGGUUCAAUGUCUCAAAAAAUAUCAAACCGAACCGAACCGAAUUUUUUAUUCGGUUUGGAUUCCGAUUUUAGGUGAAAACCGAACCGAACAAAACCGAACCCACCCCUAUUUCCUCGCCCUCUUCCACGCUCUCUCCCAACAUUGGUGAAUAGCCUCAAAAUAGGACUGAGGAAUUUUUGUUUUUCUUGUACCUACCCUUCAUGGAAUCCUCGACACCUUUGUGUUGUUUCCUCUUCAUAGUCUUCUUCCCCACACAAGUAUCCUGCUCUUCAUCUCCCAAAUUCGCAGUAGGGAUGAUCUCUUUUUUUUAGGAGACAUUAGGAAUGAUCUCGGUUAUCUAGGCCUUUGGAAUCUCCUUGACGGGCCCCAUGAUAGUGUCCAACCGAGUUGAAAAAGGAAGUUUUUUUAUUUACCUGAUAAAAAGGUUUCUUUAUCUCUAGUGGCCCAUGGAGGGAUAACCUUCAGGUUAGCCCAGACCCACUGAUUCUACCCCCCAAUUGUUCUAGUAACGCUGACAUUUCUAUAGAGACUACCAUGUGCACAUGGGUCGUACAUACUAGGCCCCUCCCACAGUAUAUUAGAGCAUCUCCAGUUGUAAUAUCCCGUACACAAUGUAAAUAAUAGUGAUUAAGUGCUCAAUAUGGUAAAUAAAUAAUAAUAAUAAAAAAAAUAAAUAUAAAUAAAAAUUGUCUAGAGUUGGGAAGAAGGGUCGAGAAGAAGGGGGCACCGACUUUGACUCGGACUCUAUCUUUUUAUUUUCUCAAGGAUCUAAGAUCUCUCACGGUCCUGGUACACGGUCAUGGUAUGUCACAUCCCGACCCUUAUAUUUUUACCUUAUUUACUAGCGUGAUUAUAAUAAGAAUUUUACCGUCCCGAUCAUUGAGUAAAUAGUUUAAUUGGUCCCUAGAGGGGUUUCGGGGACGAUUAUGAGCGGAGGAUAAUUCGUAUGAGGAAAAU